RNAcentral lists this long non-coding RNA (3999 nucleotides) under Podarcis lilfordi (Lilford's wall lizard). The record is from RNAcentral. Lineage: Eukaryota; Metazoa; Chordata; Lepidosauria; Squamata; Lacertidae.
CCCACACACGUCAGGGUGUUUCUUCAACCAUAUCAAUGAACAGAUAAUCUUUGAAAAAGGCAUUCUUGGCAGUACUGGCAAAUUCCACCUCAGCUGAUUUUUUUUUAAGACUUGCAUUUUUAGCUAAACAGGCCUUUUCUUCUCUUUAUUUUUAAGUCAACAAUUCAUUUUAAUAUUUGCUGCUUGCAAUAGCAUAUGAAGUAUGGUUAAAAGCUACCAAAGCAAUUUCCUACCACAUCAUAAAUCUCUCUUGGCAGAGAAUAGAUCUCAGCAGCUUCUGAGUGAUAUUUAUUUCCCUACCCAUUUAGCCCUAGAAGGCUUACCAGUGUUCAUGGGACUGCAACCUGUGCAACAACAAGGUAAAUCACGGGCUGCCACGUUUUCCUUAAAUUUUGUAGAGUUUUCUUUUUUACUUAUGGAACAAACCUGCUCAAAACACAACGGAUCUGAGCCAUAAAACAUUAAACUUGUUUUGCUAGAUGUGUGUUUCAAACACGCUAGUAGUUCUGGUACAAGCCUUCAUAAUGUAACAGUUGAACUUCAAAGGCUUAACCUAUUCAGGGUUGCGCUCUUACUUUACUGCGAGUUUUAUUCUCAUACGAAUUCAGGUAGCUUGAAACUGAUAUGUUGUUGUAGCUGGCUUCAGUGUGUUCACUUCCAAACACCAUAUUGCAGAUCAGAUCCUUUUCAGAUUAUUGUUCCUUUCACUGCCAACUGUAUUGAGUUGCUUUCUCUUCUGUUUCUAGGUGGGUUAUGCAGAAAUAAAGAAGUAUCUGAUCACCAAUUGGGUUAGCCAUUUGGAUUCUUGGCCUGCCAAAUUUCAGCACUGUGGGACUAUUGUGGAAUAAACACAGUUUUGCUGGGGGCAGGCUUAAUCUAAAUUUGCCAUUCAUUAGUUUUUGAAGAGGAUUAGGAGGAACAAAGAGUUUGUAAUCUGUCAUGUGAAGAGAGAAGCUUUGGUGUCACUCAACUCAGGAUGAUUUGUGGAAUAAGAUUCCAUAGCAAUAAGGAAUAAUUCAAGAGAGGCCAGAUGUGGAUUUCAUUUCUCCUUGUCAAUAUGCUGCCAGGAGCUUCAUGACUGCAAUGAAUGUUUUCUGGACCACAGAUGCACAGCCCAUGAACUGGGAAUCAGAUUUUCAGUGGUUUAAAUCCUGGCAGAAAAAAGAUCGAUUUGAAUCUUCUUUGCUCCAGUUCCUUUUCUACUGUCUCUGUGGACUUGUGAGUUAAACGACAGAAAUAAUACUACUUGUCUCUAACAAAGUAAGAAGAAUAAAAUUCAAGCUGUCUUUAAAUUCUGCCCAACUUCCUUACCAAUGGCACUUGGCCUGAUAAGCAGUAUGGGAGGCCAUACUGAAUAUUACAUUGUUCACCAGGCACAUCCACAAUAUUACUUGGAGUCCUGGCAUAAAAUGCCUUAAAAGUUUUUCCUCACCAUAAAAAAACUAUUUUGAUGCACAAACUGUUAAAAAACUGAGCUCCUGAAUCAGGCUGAAGCCCUAUAAUUGUAAGGCUAUGCAGUGAAGAAAAUCAAUACAUUUGGCUGAGAGUUUUGUUGCAAACAAAGGAAAAACAGACAUAAGGUUUUCUAUUGCGAGUUGAAGAAAUAUGGUUUCGUAUUAGCACUUUUUCUCCUAUAUGAUCUAAAAAAGAUGAACUGCUGAUUUUUUCCCCAUAAGCAAAAUUCAAGUCUACUUCAUCACAUUCACAAGAACAGUCAUGGCUGUAGGUUAUAUAUAUAUACAUACAUUCAUUUUUCCCAACCUCCAACUCCCAAGAACCUCAGCCUGCAAGUCCAAAAUAGAGCACUAGGAUGAGGAGGCCUGACAUAUAUGGUAUAUGAAAAUAUUUCAAGAUCUUAAACUUUCCAUAGACCACCAGUCUGGCAAUUACACAUGUUAAAACGUAUGUACACUGGGGGAGUCAAUAUGGUGCUCUCCAGAAAUUGCUUAUUAGGAAGUAAUCCCCAGGUAUGUGGGGUAAGGCAGAUCCCUGCUGCUGAUCUAGGGCAGAGUUGGCUUCAGCAACUUGGUCAGAACUGUUGGUACCAGUCCAAAUUCUGGAAUGAAUUCAGGACCAUGGAUAGCAAUCCUGCAACUGAGGCAACAGACAAGUUACUACCUUAGCACCAGCUAACAGCUACUGUAGAGUUUUUAUAGCCUGUUUUAUAGACUGGCUAAUACAGCUCUGGGACCACCUCUUUUGUUGAAUUUAUAAAGUUCUGUUCCAUUUGGAAUGGUUUUACUUGUUUAAUAAUUGUAUUGGUUUUAUCUAUUCUUGCAACCAUACAUAAUAUUGUUGUAACCCACUCUGGGAUCUUACACCCACAGCUAAUGGUGCAUAGCUGAUAUGGAUUGCUUCCAGUUCAUUCCUUUUCUCUAUCAGGCCCCUUCUUUACAGGAUCUACAGAAAGGUGAGUGAAAUUCGAGAGAGAUUUAUAGAUCCAGCUAGAAUUGAGCCAGCUGGCCAGGGAAGUUUGCAAAUUCACAUGUACAAACUUUAGUCUCAGUUCCCCAUGGAAGAAAAUCUAUCCAUAUUACCCCACAUUAUCAUUACAAUCAGCUGAUGAGACCCUAAUGGUGGAUGGAUUUGGUUAGUGGCUACUGGAGAGAAGGCCUUUUCUGUGGUGGUGCCCAGAUACUAUGGAAGCACUUUCCCUCUGAGCUUAGGUGAACACCCACAUUAAUGACAUUUAGGUAUCUUUUACACAAGGAGAAGGGGACAACAGAGGACGAGAUGGUUGGACAGUGUGCUCGAGGCUACAAACAUGAGUCUGACCAGGCUGCGGGAGGCAGUGGAAGACAGGAGUGCCUGGCGUGCUCUGGUCCAUGGGGUCACGAAGAGUCAGACACGACUAAACGACUAAACAACAACAACAACAGGUAUCUUUUAAAAACAGAUUCAUGCACUCAGGCCUUUGCUGGGACUUGAUUUCAGAAUAUUAUAAAUUUUAACAUUGUCCUAGGUUUUCUUUUAAUCCCAUAUUUUAAUGUUUUAAUAUUGCUAUACACCUCCUUGAGACUUGAUGUGGGAAGCAGUAGAGAAAGUUUUAAAAAUAAAUAAAUAAAAACAAAAACCAUCUAUUAUGCUUUUACCACAUUGUAUACAGGCACAAUAGCUGGUAGUACAAAUAUAAACAAAAGUUUUCAAAGAAUAAUGCAGAAGUGUUGUUCAAUUUUAAUUCUUACUCAACACUUUUAAUGUUAUGAGCUUAAAGCUAUUUAUUUCACCCCUAAUAUUUAAACUGAAGUAUAUUUACUUGGAAUAAAACCCUAGCAGAAUCCACGAUACUUACUACUGAGUAAACCUGUCUAAGAUUGGGACAAUAGAUUGGAUUUUGAUUUUUUCUUGCCUAAGUGGUUUAGUGCCAGCUGUAAUUUUAGCUACACAUUGCCGAAUUUCCUCUGGGAAUUUCAGUGUUUUUCUUUAUCUGUGCAGAAAAGGUACUAGGGAAGAAUGUGUUUUAGCUGUCUGUAUUCUGCAAUGAACAAGGGACCAUUGGAGGCCUGAGGGGUACGGGAAAGGAAUGACAGGAUCCUUUUAAUUAGGUUGAAAACCAACUUGGUAAGAAUAGCCUGUCUGUAUUGGUAGCUCUAACUGACUGCUCUGAAGACAGAGUGUGCGGAUCUGGUGGGGGGUAAUUAUUGUCUGUGACAAUUUGACUGACAGGCUUGUCCCCUUGAGGAGACUCCAAAAAUGCUGCUUUCUGGCAAACCAUGAAUGGAAUAAAUUCACUUUCUGAGGACUCCAUUAAAGAAAGCACAGUGGAAGUUGGGCAACCUGCUAACGGUGGUGAUGGGGUUACAGCUCUCUCAGACAUCUAGUCUCUGAAAGGUGGCUCAGGUAGAUUGGCAGGAGAGGCAAGAGAAUGAGUUUAAGAAGCAAGAGUGAUUCACUUUGGGAACAGGACAAAACAAAAAACCCUGGAAUUGAUAAAAUUGCUUCCUUGUCCUUCCAAUUUAAUGUAACUGAUAGAUUUAUUUUUAUUUUUGGUUUCUUUAU